This is a long non-coding RNA of Polistes dominula (European paper wasp), 2399 nucleotides long. Lineage: Eukaryota; Metazoa; Arthropoda; Insecta; Hymenoptera; Vespidae. The record is from RefSeq and is a predicted model, not a curated record.
UGAUAAUAUUUUCUUUUUGCAAAAUUAUAUAUGCAUACUUAGUCUCUUGUUAUAUUGUUAGAAAAUUGUCUUUGAGAAAAAAUUAUUUUCAUCAUCGAACGUAUUAUUUAAAUAGCUGUAACUUUGUCUUGAUCGUUUUCUCAUAUAAAUACAAAAUAACGGAGAUAUGUUAUAACUGAAAUGGUAAUAGCUCCCGACCACCCGGUAUAUAUGACUCGUGUCAGAGUUUUUUAUCAAUAUAAAAAUCGACUUUCAUUAUGGCACUAAUGCAUUUAGUAACAAGAAAACGGAAAAAGUGAGAAAGUCUUCAUUUCUGUAAUGAAAUAAGGUAAUAAUAAGCGAAUGAAAUUAAUGUUAAAAUAAAUUGUACAAAUCUUGAUUAUUAUCAGGUUUUACUAAUAUAAGAUAUCGUAGAUAUCGAUAAAUAUCCGUAUAAUUGCUUUACGUGAGUGAUAAGAAUUCAAAAAAGAACUUAUCUGCAGUGACUUUCACAAAUAUUCGGACGCAAAAGUGAUAGCUAAAUUUAUGACUUUAUAUUUUGAUUAUUUCAAAACUUAGCCUUUGUUUUUGUUUUAAUUCGGCUAUUGAAACAAUUGGAAUUUUCCUAAUUUUCUUCUCUAAUUCAUCUCAUAAAUUAUCAAUGGGAUUAAGAUUCAGUGAUUGAUUUGAGAUGAAGAAUUUUGAGUCAUUGAUUUAAUAAAAAAUUUUGCACAAUGAGUGCUUCAUGCUGGAGGUAUUUGUCCUAAUGAACAUUUUUUUUAUGUUCCUCUUUAUUAUUUGUUCCUAUUUAUAGAAAUAUUAACAAAUACUUAUAACGACAAGAAUUAUAGGAUAUCUUUAAGAUAUAUUUGAGUUAUUUGUCGAGUUAUGUAGUGAGCAAAUUUAAUAAAUUCAACGGGUGCUUUCACUAUAGUCUUUUGGCUAUUUCUUUGUAACAGUUUACUGUAGGUAGAUUCGCAUGGGUUUUGAUUCUGAUUUUGUGUGAUUGUGUAAGUCUUAUUAUUUCUUCUUGCCCAAAAUGUGCGUUCAAUAUUUUACGAAUGUUAUUAUUACGGAUAUACCAGAGUGCAUUAAAGAUUGCAAAACGAAUUAUUAAUUGAAGGCUUUCCAUUUUUUAAAUGUGUUACUUGGCAGUCAUUUUUUAAAGUUACRUUAUUAUUAUUGGAUUAUUAUUAUCCCGGCUUUUUGGAAUUACGAAGUAAAUUGUUUUUAAGUAUAUGUAAAGAUUUUAAUACAUUAAGUAACAUCAAGAUUCCGGGUACAUUAAAAAAAAUGCAACCUCUCAAACUUUUAACAAUUUACUGUAGUCUUUGCAUUUUAGAAAUAAUAUUUUUUAUUUAUUUAUCGCCACGCUAUUGAACUUCCUUGCAAAUUUUAAAGGUUGAAUUUGCUUUCGUCAAAAAAUAUUAUAUUUUUCUAUAUGUUAUUAGAUUUCAACAUUGUCUUCCUCAAUUUAUUUGAAUAUAAAUAUACCAUAUGUUUAAAAGAUUAUUCAAAAUGACGUCAUUGCUAUAAUUUCCAUGAUAUUAAGCAUUUUUAAUAUAUGGAAAUAAAUGAACUUACAUUUAUAAUUGUUUUCUAGAGAAAUUUCAUAGCAGUGAUAUUAUCAAAUAUUUAUAAUAUAGUUCAUAUUCUUUUGUUAGAUCGUUCACUGUUAUAUCGAGCUCGUUGGAAAUAGCCAAGGAAAAACAUUAUUUGUUUUGACACCAAAAUGGCAUUCAACAUAGUUUACAAAUUUUUUAUCACUUGAUCCGGAAAUUAUCUAAAUCAAUUCUUGUGAAAAUAUUAAUAAAUAAAUCAAUCAAAAAGAGAUAUAACAACGGAAAAAUUGAUCUCAAAGCCAUGAAAAAUAUUGCAUCGAGUUAGAACCUAAAUAAAAUAUGCAAUAAUCAUCACCAUGUAUCGUUACGCGAAUGUAAUAUUAAUAUAUACAAUGAUCGAAGGAUAGUCAUCUAAUAUUUAAUUAAAUGAGAAAAGAAAGGAAUUGUCAUGUCGAAAUCAUCGGAAAGCAAUAACGACAAAUUUCAACCAAUAAAAUAUUGCGAAAAUGGAAAAAUUGAGGAAGGAAGAAUCGGUGGGGUCAAAGUACGAGAAACAUUGAAUAUAAAUGACAAUGGUAAUAUGAAGCAAAUGAAAUGGCCGACAUUGUGCGAUGCAAAUCCAUAUAUAGUGGAUCUUUGGAAAAAUCUCUUCAAGAAAAAAGAAAAAUCAGAAACCGUAAAAUCCGAAACCGUAAAAUCCGAAACCGUAAAAUCCGAAACCGUAAAAUCCGAAACCGUAAAAUCCGAAACCGCAUCAUCCGAAACCGCAUCAUCGACUAAUUAAACUCAACAUUAUUGAUUUUUCGAUCUUAAAAAUUUGUAAAAAAAAAAAAGAACAUUAAUAACCGAUGAAAUUAA